GAUGAACGCUGGCGGCGUGCCUAAUACAUGCAAGUCGAGCGAACGGACGAGAAGCUUGCUUCUCUGAUGUUAGCGGCGGACGGGUGAGUAACACGUGGAUAACCUACCUAUAAGACUGGGAUAACUUCGGGAAACCGGAGCUAAUACCGGAUAAUAUUUUGAACCGCAUGGUUCAAAAGUGAAGGACGGUCUUGCUGUCACUUAUAGAUGGAUCCGCGCUGCAUUAGCUAGUUGGUAAGGUAACGGCUUACCAAGGCAACGAUGCAUAGCCGACCUGAGAGGGUGAUCGGCCACACUGGAACUGAGACACGGUCCAGACUCCUACGGGAGGCAGCAGUAGGGAAUCUUCCGCAAUGGGCGAAAGCCUGACGGAGCAACGCCGCGUGAGUGAUGAAGGUCUUCGGAUCGUAAAACUCUGUUAUUAGGGAAGGACAUAUGUGUAAGUAACUGUGCACAUCUUGACGGUACCUAAUCAGAAAGCCACGGCUAACUACGUG
RNAcentral lists this ribosomal RNA (497 nucleotides) under uncultured bacterium. Its description in RNAcentral is "partial 16S ribosomal RNA". It matches the Rfam family "Bacterial small subunit ribosomal RNA", at positions 28 to 507 of the family's 1533-position model. The record is from RNAcentral.